GAUGAACGCUGGCGGCGUGCCUAAUACAUGCAAGUCGAGCGAACAGGCGAGGAGUUUGUUCUUCUUACGGUAGCGGCGGGAGGGUGAGUAAAACGUGGGUAACAUAUCUAUAAGACUGGUAUAUAUUCGGGAAACAGGAUCUAAUAUCGGAUAAUUUCUUGACCUGCAUGGUUCUGUGGUUGAAAACGGUUUUGCUUCGACUGUGAGAUGGAUCGCCGCCUCUUUAGUUGGUUGGUGGGGGAACGGCUUCCCAGGGCAGCGCUGCGGAGCCGACCGGAGGGGGUGGUCGGCGACACUAGAACGGAGGCGCGGUCCAGACGCCUACGGGAGGCGGCAGUAGGGAAUAUUCCGCAAUGGGCGGAGGCCGGACGGAGCAGCGCCGCGGGGGGGGUGAUGGUCUUCGGAUCGUAAUACUCUGUUAUUGGGGAAGAAGAAAUGUGUAAGUAACUGUGCACGGCUUGACGGUACCUGAUCAGAAAGCCACGGCUAACUACGUG
RNAcentral lists this ribosomal RNA (497 nucleotides) under uncultured bacterium. RNAcentral describes it as "partial 16S ribosomal RNA". It matches the Rfam family "Bacterial small subunit ribosomal RNA", at positions 28 to 507 of the family's 1533-position model. The record is from RNAcentral.